AGCAGCUCACUGGGUGUAAAGCGUGCGCAGGCGGUUUUGUAAGACAGAGUGAAAUCCCCGGGCUCAACCUGGGAACUGCCUUUGUGACUGCAAGGCUGGAGUACGGCAGAGGGGGAUGGAAUUCCGCGUGUAGCAGUGAAAUGCGUAGAUAUGCGGAGGAACACCGAUGGCGAAGGCAAUCCCCUGGGCCUGUACUGACGCUCAUGCACGAAAGCGUGGGGAGCAAACA
Molecule: ribosomal RNA, 229 nt
Filed under: uncultured Alicycliphilus sp.
Lineage: Bacteria; Pseudomonadati; Pseudomonadota; Betaproteobacteria; Burkholderiales; Comamonadaceae
Description: partial 16S ribosomal RNA
Rfam family: Bacterial small subunit ribosomal RNA
Source: RNAcentral